CACUCUCUAACCGCCACUCCUUUUUCUUAACCGCCACUUCUCAUGUUCCCUCCACAAACCCACUACAGUCGUCGCAGUGCCCCGCACAACUACCCAAUCCCUUCUACUGCCUCCGCGCCUUGCACAACCACCCCACCUAGAGGCACCCUUAUCCUAUACAUCAAUCCAACAAAGACGGAAGGAGGGACUACCAAAGGUGCUUACAAGCAUGUAAGGAGGGUUCCUAUUUUUUGAAGCACCUCCAGCAGCAAUACUACCACUCCCUGCUCCUUCCACAAACCCACAACAAUCGCUGCGGCGCCCUAUAUAACCACCAAUUCUCUGUUGCCAUUGCCAUGCCCCGCACAAUCACCCCACCACCCACACUGCCACACCCCCAUC
Molecule: long non-coding RNA, 381 nt
Filed under: Ananas comosus (pineapple)
Lineage: Eukaryota; Viridiplantae; Streptophyta; Magnoliopsida; Poales; Bromeliaceae
Description: long non-coding RNA (ACOM_LNC026873)
Source: RNAcentral